This 1899-nucleotide long non-coding RNA is filed under the name Oryzias sinensis (Chinese medaka). RNAcentral's name for it is "lncRNA (ENSOSIG00000021673.1)". The record is from RNAcentral. Lineage: Eukaryota; Metazoa; Chordata; Actinopteri; Beloniformes; Adrianichthyidae.
AAACUAUCACUGCACUGCACCACAUUCCUAAAGUCACAAAGUAUGCACAGUGAAAAUUUUAAACAAAAAGAUAUUCAAUAAAAUGUACUUCAGCAGAACUUUUCACAUUAAAUGCAGACAUUACAUUAAUUUAUUUAAAUGUGAACAUUAGCUGCAUGCCAGGAUAAGUAUUAGGGAGAAAAAUCUUGUGCAUAAAAAAGCAACCUACAAUUUGAAGAUUUCAAAAUCCAUUUGAACUACAUAUUGGUGAAUUUGUUUUAUUGAGCCUUGGAACUGAUAAAUGGACGUUUUAACUCUUCUGGCUGGUAAAUUCAGCAUCCCCAUGACAGCCAUAAGCUCUGCUAAAGGUCGAAGACUUAAAGCGCAUUUUUGAACUCAGGCUUUUGUAUCGCGAGAGCAUCGCACAAAAGAGAGAGCGACAGAGAGGGAGAGGAAAAAAAACGUUUGGGGGAAAGUGGAGGAGGGAUGUGGACUGAACUCUGUAGAGCAGGACAGACGCUGUGAGUGAGUUUUGGUGUUCUCAUCCUUACGCCAGCUCCUCUACCUAGCUGCUCUGUGCAAAAGCAGACGCUCCAUUGGAUGAGCACGACCAGACUGCAAAAGUUACAAUGCGCAUCUGUUUAUUAUAGCUGCUCAGCGAGAGGCUUGAGUGACUUUUCCUCUUUUCCACAGCUUUGCCUCUCAGCGUUUAUUCAGCUGUACCUGCAAGUCAAAGGAAAGGAGCCCUCGGUCGGGUCCUUUGCGAAUCUCCUGCUCGGGAGACAAGCUCUGACUCCAGACCACAGAAGUCAGACGGGUCUGGGAAAACUUAAAUUGUGUUGUUCUGAGCGCUGGAGUUGCACACAUGUGGGUGGACAUGCGGGACAGCGCGCGCGGAGAACGGCUGCCGCAGCUGGUCGUUGCUUUGCUGGCUGUGCUGUCGCUCUUUGCUGGGCUUGGAGACCCUGCUGAGAUGGUGGACACCGAGGACAGGGAGGCGGUGACCAAGAUUACCGACACUAGAGCCAACCGGGCAAAGAGGAGGGGAGGAACAGACGUCCUGAGAGGGUAAUGUGCAGUGAUAUCUUGAUGGUUAAACAUUGGAAGAUUAUUUUCCACUUUUCUAUUCUUUUCUUUUUUCUUUUUAUUUUAUUUUGGAAUUAACCUAAGAUGGGCACAUUUUAAAAAUACUUUAUUCUAGUUUCGGAGCAGGUGCCUUUGCUGGUUCUUCUGGGAAUGUGAAGGUCAAAAAAUGUGUGUGUGUGAGUAUGUGUACUCUCAUAGGGGUGUGUGUCUUUUAAUAAGACAGACUGAGACCCCUUAGUGACAUGGUGUGUGAUGGGAAGUUUGCAGCAAAGUUUGGUAAUUAAAUACUGGCAAGAAUACCACAUUCCUGCUGACUGCAAUAAUAAAUUACAUCCAAACAAUGGAGGCCAUUGGUCUUGCGUCUGUGGCAGAGGGGGAGAGAAAGAGACUAACAGCCUAAUCCCCUUUUUAGCCAAAUACACCACACCCCAGUUGUGGAUAAAUGACAUCUGCAGCUGUACACAGUGGGUCACUGCUGGAUAGAGGAAAGACUGUGUGUGCAUGUGUGCAUAUGUGUGUGUGUGUGUGUGUGGAGAGAUAGGGAGAAAGACAGACAUAAGCAAUAACGAAAAGGAAAAAAAAAGACUUUGUCCAGUGAUGACGGCAAACAGAUGAUAUAGGUCACACAGUUGAGGGCUGGAUGAGCGUUCUCCACGGAAAUCUCUGUUUGACAUCCUAAGUUUUCAUUUAUCACAUCAUCUGGGUCCAGAGGCAGGAAGAGCAUAACUGUGUAAUGCAGACUCACCACAGUUUGAAUGGCUUCAUCAUUCAUUGAUCUGCUCUGACUGCACAGUGUUUACAAAAACCUAUGGAUGGGUGUAUGUUCAGUGGGUG